RNAcentral lists this ribosomal RNA (749 nucleotides) under uncultured bacterium. RNAcentral describes it as "bacterial SSU rRNA". It matches the Rfam family "Bacterial small subunit ribosomal RNA", at positions 68 to 809 of the family's 1533-position model. The record is from RNAcentral.
GAUCCCUUCGGGGUGAGCUUGGCGCUGACGAGUGGCGGACGGGUGAGUAAUGCUUGGGAAUCUGCCCAGUAGUGGGGGACAACACGAGGAAACUCGUGCUAAUACCGCAUACGUCCUACGGGAGAAAGUGGAGGAUCUUCGGACUUCACGCUAUUGGAUGAGCCCAAGUCGGAUUAGCUUGUUGGUGGGGUAAAGGCCUACCAAGGCGACGAUCCGUAGCUGGUCUGAGAGGACGAUCAGCCACACUGGGACUGAGACACGGCCCAGACUCCUACGGGAGGCAGCAGUGGGGAAUAUUGGACAAUGGGGGCAACCCUGAUCCAGCAAUGCCGCGUGUGUGAAGAAGGCCUGCGGGUUGUAAAGCACUUUCAGUAGAGAAGAAAAGCCUGGGGUUAAUACCCCCGGGUCUUGACGUAACCUACAGAAGAAGCACCGGCUAACUCCGUGCCAGCAGCCGCGGUAAUACGGAGGGUGCGAGCGUUAAUCGGAAUUACUGGGCGUAAAGCGCGCGUAGGCGGCCAGAUCAGUCGGAUGUGAAAGCCCCGGGCUUAACCUGGGAAUUGCAUUCGAAACUGCCUGGCUAGAGUAUGGGAGAGGGAAGCGGAAUUUCCGGUGUAGCGGUGAAAUGCGUAGAUAUCGGAAGGAACACCAGUGGCGAAGGCGGCUUCCUGGCCCAAUACUGACGCUCAGGUGCGAAAGCGUGGGUAGCGAACAGGAUUAGAUACCCUGGUAGUCCACGCCGUAAACGA